UUGGANUGGGGGCACCCUGAUCCAGCGACGCCGCGUGGAGGACGAAGGUCUUCGGAUUGUAAACUCCUUUUGAAGGGGAUGAAUGCCUGCGUGAAAAACGCAGGGUGACAGUACCCUUUGAAUAAGCCACGGCUAACUACGUGCCAGCAGCCGCGGUAAUACGUAGGUGGCAAGCGUUACUCGGAAUCACUAGGCGUAAAGCGCAGGUAGGCGGCUCGGUAAGUCUUUUGUGAAAGCUCCCGGCUUAACUGGGAGAGGUCAAGGGAAACUACCGGGCUCGAGUGUGGCAGAGGAAGCUGGAAUUCCCGGUGUAGCGGUGAAAUGCGUAGAUAUCGGGAGGAAUACCUAUGGCGAAAGCAGGCUUCUGGGCCAUCACUGACGCUGAUCUGCGAAAGCUAGGGGAGCAAACAGGAUUAGAUACCCUGGUAGUCCUAGCCCUAAACGAUGCUCAUUAGGUGUGGGAGGUAUCGACCCCUUCUGCGCCGAAGCUAACGCAUUAAAUGAGCCGCCUGGGGAGUACGGCCGCAAGGUUGAAACUCAAAAAAAUUGACGGA
This 554-nucleotide ribosomal RNA is filed under the name uncultured bacterium. RNAcentral's name for it is "bacterial SSU rRNA". It matches the Rfam family "Bacterial small subunit ribosomal RNA", at positions 364 to 917 of the family's 1533-position model. The record is from RNAcentral.